UACGAAGGGGGCUAGCGUUGCUCGGAAUCACUGGGCGUAAAGCGCACGUAGGCGGAUUGCUAAGUCAGGGGUGAAAUCCUGGAGCUCAACUCCAGAACUGCCCUUGAUACUGGCGGUCUCGAGUCCGGGAGAGGUGAGUGGAACUGCGAGUGUAGAGGUGAAAUUCGUAGAUAUUCGCAAGAACACCAGUGGCGAAGGCGGGUCUCUGGACAGUUCCUGACACUGAGGCAC
This 231-nucleotide ribosomal RNA is filed under the name uncultured bacterium. RNAcentral describes it as "partial 16S ribosomal RNA". It matches the Rfam family "Bacterial small subunit ribosomal RNA", at positions 524 to 754 of the family's 1533-position model. The record is from RNAcentral.